Molecule: unclassified non-coding RNA, 777 nt
Filed under: Euryhelmis costaricensis
Lineage: Eukaryota; Metazoa; Platyhelminthes; Trematoda; Opisthorchiida; Heterophyidae
Description: ITS1
Source: RNAcentral
CAGUACUCCCAGAGCCCUUACAAACUCUGUAAACCAGAGUUCCCAGUGCGGGUCGUCAUACUUGCACGUCUUGCAGCUUUGUCUGCCUAGGGCGGAGCGACUCUAGUUCCGUCAUGUUGUGCAUAUUACGCGCAACGAUAAAUAUUGCAGCUUUGUCUGCCUACGUCGGAGCGACUCUAGUUCCGUCAUACUGAAAUUGUUAUUUGAUUUGAAAACGCGCAAGUCUUCGGGCUUGUGCAUAUUGCAGCUUUGUCUGCCUACGUCGGAGCGACUCUAGUUCCGUCAUACCGAAAUUGUUAUUUGAUUUGGAAACGCGCAGGUCUUCGGGCUUGUGCAUAUUGCAGCUUUGUCUGCCUACGUCGGAGCGACUCUAGUUCCGUCAUACUCAGGCUAUACCUGGUGUACGUAUGGAGUACGUAUACCUACGUAUAGUCGACAUUUUGGCAGGGUGCCUACCUGUCUGAUGCUUGCGGUGUGCUUGCUUCGGCCAGUCCACAUUGUGAGUGACGGGAUGUGCUGUCGGAAUGGACAGUGCUAGGCUUAAUGAGUGGGCAUGUGUACCCAGCUACGGCUCACCCACCGCCCUGAUGUUGUUGUUUUCAACCCAUUUUACACUGUUUAAGUAAUUCAGGCUGGUUUUGCUGGCUUGUCUUACUGCCCCGACAUGCACCUGGUGUUUUACACUGGACUGCAUGUGCAGUCGCCUGGCGGUGCCUUAUCCCAGGUACGACUGAUAAUGCAUCGAUCUUCUGGUUUACCAGUUGGUCGAGGUGAGUA